This 904-nucleotide long non-coding RNA is filed under the name Brachypodium distachyon (stiff brome). Its description in RNAcentral is "long non-coding RNA (BDIS_LNC000038)". The record is from RNAcentral. Lineage: Eukaryota; Viridiplantae; Streptophyta; Magnoliopsida; Poales; Poaceae.
GUCCUUGGGGUGGAGGUACUGCACCUCGCCGCUGGGGAAGACGCGGUAGAACUGGUAGGCGAUCUUGUACUUGGAGCGGAGCCGGUUGCCGAGCGCCAGGCACUGCUCCUUGCGCGCCAGCUUGAGGAGGUUGGGCCCCUCACGCAUGAUGGCGGCGCCGCCCGUCGGCAUCUCGAACACCUGCUCCUUGGGCGACGUCCACGUGAUGACGUAGAAUUCCUCGACCUGGGCUUUGCGGAGGAGCCCGCCCGUGCUGCCGCCGAAGAUUGGGGAUGGGGUUGAGGGGUCGAGCUGGGGCGGGACGAAGCCGGCGGGGGCUGGGGUGGCGACGGGAGCCGCCGGGGUUUCUGGGGCGGCGGCGUGGAGGGCGGUUGGGGCGCGGGAGGUGGGGGAAGGGAAGGCGAGGGAGCGGGGUUUGGGGGAGGAGGAAGGGGACCGGGUGGCGGCGAGGAGGUGGCGGGUGGCGGCGGAGGCUUGCGUGGCCAUGGCCAUGGCGGGAGCUAGCUUAGCGAGAGCAAGGAGCGCGCGUGUGGGGGAUGGAUAUGGAUCGGAGUUGAUGGAGGGAAGAAGAAGAAGGGGUGGCUGAGCUUUGGCUAAAGAGGGGAUUGGGGGUGGAGAAGCGGAUAAGGGGAUAUGAGGCCGGCCAAUGGGGAGCCCGGGUUUUGAUACGGCCGGAGCGGGAGGCUUGGCGUGGCGACCACAGAAAACACAAUACAAAUCGCAGCGUGUCAACGUGCACUGGGGUCGCCGGUCGCGGUUUUCCGUGGAUUUUCCUUCCACUCUGUAUGUAUCCGACGACGUUCUAGAUCUUUUCCGUAAAGAGUUGCUUUAGUCGAUUUAAGGUGAGAGCAUUGGAAGCACUACAUGUAACGUGAAACACUGGCGUAACGUAAGUUGUAUUGCU